This 476-nucleotide ribosomal RNA is filed under the name uncultured bacterium. RNAcentral describes it as "bacterial SSU rRNA". It matches the Rfam family "Bacterial small subunit ribosomal RNA", at positions 33 to 507 of the family's 1533-position model. The record is from RNAcentral.
UACGAGGACGACGCUGGCGGCGUGCUUAACACAUGCAAGUCGAACGAUGAAAGCGGGAGCUUGCUCCUGCUGGAUUAGUGGCGAACGGGUGAGUAACACGUGAGUAACCUGCCCUUGGACUCUGGGAUAAGCGUUGGAAACGACGUCUAAUACCGGAUACGACCUUCGGAGGCAUCUCCUGGGGGUGGAAAGAAUUCGGUCAAGGAUGGACUCGCGGCCUAUCAGCUAGUUGGUGAGGUAAUGGCUCACCCAAGGCGACGACGGGUAGCCGGCCUGAGAGGGUGACCGGCCACACUGGGACUGAGACACGGCCCAGACUCCUACGGGAGGCAGCAGUGGGGAAUAUUGCACAAUGGGCGCAAGCCUGAUGCAGCAACGCCGCGUGAGGGACGACGGCCUUCGGGUUGUAAACCUCUUUUAGUAGGGAAGAAGCGAAAGUGACGGUACCUGCAGAAAAAGCACCGGCUAACUACGUG